GGCCCAGCCAGGUUUCCCCCGCCUUUGCAGGCCCACUUGAUUAGUUCAGCUGCCCGGGCUUCCCGCCCUCGGGGCCACGGGGAAAAGUGUGGCCUCGGGGUGGAGUUGGCGGGCGCGUGGUGAGAGCCGAGCGAAACCGCCCGGCUUUCGCAGAGUCAGGGCGUCACCGAAGGGGCACUCUCCGGCCUCAGCAACCGGCUUCCCUGCGUCCCUGGCCAGGUUCCCUUACUUCCUGGAAGUCCAGAGGUCUUCCAGUCUCGGCGUCAGACCCGCCGCAGGAAUGGUGAUUGGGAAGCGGUCCCUUCCAACGUUGGACAGCGCUCCUUUUUAAGAGAUAUUGUAAUAAUGAUAGGAUGUUGAUAGCCUCCCGUCAUCUCGAUUCAACAUUCUCCUGUGGUGGUUUUUUUUUUUUUUUCCAAAGAUCUUUGACCAUCUGACCUCAAGAAGCGUUUUUUUGAGCACUAGAUGCCAGACACAUUUGGGAAUGGAGAAUCUGCAGUAAGAUGCUCCCUGCCCUCAUCAAGAAAAUUGCAGCACAUUGAGCAAUAGUUUCAUCAGUUAUGCGACCUUGAGAAACUUCAUAUGGCCAAACUUUUUUUUUUUUUUUUUAAUAAAAUUGCAGAAAUAUGACCUACAGCACAGGGAUGAUGGCUAACAUUUGUUGAGUGUUAUGUUUUGGGCACUAUACUAAAUGUUUUGUUAUCAUGGCACUUAAUCCUCACACUAUUCUCAUUUUACAGAAACUGAAAUACAGAAUGGCAAGUAAAACGUCCAAUUGAGUGAUCAUUGUAACACAGCUAAUUAAGAGGAGCUGGGAGGUCACACCUAGCAAUCUGGCUCCAGAGCCAUGAAAGGGUAGGAUAUAAUGGAGCUUAAGAGGUCAUGUGGCUUGAAUCCAGAGUGCAUGUGAGAUAGAAGAUACAAUCUCUUCUCAGAGUUUGGGGUUUCCUAUGGGAAAUUAUUGGAUAUUCUUAAGCAGAUGACUAGUAACCAUAUAUCUAACUUUUCUGGGGAAGUCCCUAUUUAUGUAAUCUUUCCCCCAGCAUAAUGAAUAAAGCUUUUUUGUUGUGAUGCUAGGGAUUAGACCACAGGCUCAUACAGGCUAAGCAAGUGCUCUAACACUGAGCUACAUCCCCAGCCUUUUUUAUUUCAAGAUAGGUUCUAAAUUGACCUUGAAUUUACAAUCUUCCUGCCUUAGCCUCCAGAGUAGCUGAGAUUACAGGGGUAAUAAA
Marmota monax (woodchuck) is the source of this 1232-nucleotide long non-coding RNA. RefSeq lists it as uncharacterized. The transcript is spliced from 2 exons. NCBI's taxonomy places the organism in Eukaryota, Metazoa, Chordata, Mammalia, Rodentia, Sciuridae. The record is from RefSeq and is a predicted model, not a curated record.